This 301-nucleotide ribosomal RNA is filed under the name uncultured bacterium. Its description in RNAcentral is "partial 16S ribosomal RNA". It matches the Rfam family "Bacterial small subunit ribosomal RNA", at positions 509 to 807 of the family's 1533-position model. The record is from RNAcentral.
CAGCAGCCGCGGUAAUACGAAGGGUGCAAGCGUUAAUCGGAAUUACUGGGCGUAAAGCGCACGCAGGCGGUUUGUUAAGUCAGAUGUGAAAUCCCCGAGCUUAACUUGGGAACUGCAUUUGAAACUGGCAAGCUAGAGUCUUGUAGAGGGGGGUAGAAUUCCAGGUGUAGCGGUGAAAUGCGUAGAGAUCUGGAGGAAUACCGGUGGCGAAGGCGGCCCCCUGGACAAAGACUGACGCUCAGGUGCGAAAGCGUGGGGAGCAAACAGGAUUAGAGACCCGCGUAGUCCCUGUCUCUUAUAC